Molecule: ribosomal RNA, 406 nt
Filed under: uncultured bacterium
Lineage: Bacteria
Description: partial 16S ribosomal RNA
Rfam family: Bacterial small subunit ribosomal RNA
Source: RNAcentral
AUUGAACGCUGGCGGCAGGCCUAACACAUGCAAGUCGAACGAGUGGCGGACGGGUGAGUAAUGUCUGAGAAAGUGCCUGAUGGGGGGGGAUAACUACUGGAAGCGGUAGCUAAUACCGCAUACCCUCGGAUGUGCACAGAUGGGAUUAGCUAGUAGGUGGGGUAACGGCUCACCUAGGCGACGAUCCCUAGCUGGUCUGAGAGGAUGACCAGCCACACUGGAACUGAGACACGGUCCAGACUCCUACGGUAGGCAGCAGUGGGGAAUAUUGCACAAUGGGCGCAAGCCUGAUGCAGCCAUGCCGCGUGUAUGAAGAAGGCCUUCGGGUUGUAAAGUACUUUCAGCGGGGAGGCGUUACCCGCAGAAGAAGCACCGGCUAACUCCGUGCCAGCAGCCGCGGUAAUUC